AGGUCUGUGAUGCCCUUAGAUGUCCUGGGCUGCACGCGCGCUACACUGAUGCAUCCAUCGAGUUUGUCCUGUCCCGAAAGGGUUGGGUAAUCUUUAGUGUGCAUCGUGUCGGGGAUUGAUUUUUGCAAUUCUAAAUCAUGAACGAGGAAUGCCUAGUAUGCGCAAGUCAUCAGCUUGUGCAGAUUACGUCCCUGCCCUUUGUACACACCGCCCGUCGCUCCUACCGAUCGAGUGAUCCGGUGAAUUAUUCGGACCGUGGCUUUUCCGAUUCGUC
Molecule: ribosomal RNA, 274 nt
Filed under: Babesia bigemina
Lineage: Eukaryota; Apicomplexa; Aconoidasida; Piroplasmida; Babesiidae
Description: partial small subunit ribosomal RNA
Rfam family: Eukaryotic small subunit ribosomal RNA
Source: RNAcentral